ACACAUGCAAGUCGAGGGGCAGCGGGAUUGAAGCUUGCUUCAAUUGCCGGCGACCGGCGCACGGGUGAGUAACGCGUAUCCAACCUUCCGUACACUCAGGGAUAGCCUUUCGAAAGAAAGAUUAAUACCUGAUGGUAUGAUGAGAUUGCAUGAUAGCAUCAUUAAAGAUUUAUCGGUGUACGAUGGGGAUGCGUUCCAUUAGGUAGUAGGCGGGGUAACGGCCCACCUAGCCAACGAUGGAUAGGGGUUCUGAGAGGAAGGUCCCCCACAUUGGAACUGAGACACGGUCCAAACUCCUACGGGAGGCAGCAGUGAGGAAUAUUGGUCAAUGGACGAGAGUCUGAACCAGCCAAGUAGCGUGAAGGAUGAAGGUCUUACGGAUUGUAAACUUCUUUUAUAAGGGAAUAAAACCUCCCACGUGUGGGAGCUUGUAUGUACCUUAUGAAUAAGCAUCGGCUAACUCCGUGCCAGCAGCCGCGGUAAUACGGAGGAUGCGAGCGUUAUCCGGAUUUAUUGGGUUUAAAGGGA
This 528-nucleotide ribosomal RNA is filed under the name uncultured bacterium. RNAcentral describes it as "bacterial SSU rRNA". It matches the Rfam family "Bacterial small subunit ribosomal RNA", at positions 51 to 568 of the family's 1533-position model. The record is from RNAcentral.